CGGGAGGCAGCAGUGGGGAAUUUUGGACAAUGGGCGAAAGCCUGAUCCAGCAAUGCCGCGUGUGUGAAGAAGGCCUUCGGGUUGUAAAGCACUUUUGUCCGGAAAGAAAUCCUUGGCUCUAAUACAGUCGGGGGAUGACGGUACCGGAAGAAUAAGCACCGGCUAACUACGUGCCAGCAGCCGCGGUAAUACGUAGGGUGCGAGCGUUAAUCGGAAUUACUGGGCGUAAAGCGUGCGCAGGCGGUUUGCUAAGACCGAUGUGAAAUCCCCGGGCUCAACCUGGGAACUGCAUUGGUGACUGGCAGGCUAGAGUAUGGCAGAGGGGGGUAGAAUUCCACGUGUAGCAGUGAAAUGCGUAGAGAUGUGGAGGAAUACCGAUGGCGAAGGCAGCCCCCUGGGCCAAUACUGACGCUCAUGCACGAAAGCGUGGGGAGCAAACAGGAUUAGAUACCCUGGUAGUCCACGCCCUAAACGAUGUCAACUAGUUGUUGGGGAUUCAUUUCCUUAGUAACGUAGCUAACGCGUGAAGUUGACCGCCUGGGGAGUACGGUCGCAAGAUUAAAACUCAAAGGAAUUGACGGGGACCCGCACAAGCGGUGGAUGAUGUGGAUUAAUUCGAUGCAACGCGAAAAACCUUACCUACCCUUGACAUGGUCGGAAUCCCGCUGAGAGGUGGGAGUGCUCGAAAGAGAACCGGCGCACAGGUGCUGCAUGGCUGUCGUCAGCUCGUGUCGUGAGAUGUUGGGUUAAGUCCCGCAACGAGCGCAACCCUUGUCCUUAGUUGCUACGCAAGAGCACUCUAAGGAGACUGCCGGUGACAAACCGGAGGAAGGUGGGGAUGACGUCAAGUCCUCAUGGCCCUUAUGGGUAGGGCUUCACACGUCAUACAAUGGUCGGAACAGAGGGUUGCCAACCCGCGAGGGGGAGCUAAUCCCAGAAAACCGAUCGUAGUCCGGAUUGCACUCUGCAACUCGAGUGCAUGAAGCUGGAAUCGCUAGUAAUCGCGGAUCAGCAUGCCGCGGUGAAUACGUUUCCGGGCCUUGUACACACCGC
This 1053-nucleotide ribosomal RNA is filed under the name uncultured Burkholderia sp. RNAcentral's name for it is "bacterial SSU rRNA". It matches the Rfam family "Bacterial small subunit ribosomal RNA", at positions 342 to 1393 of the family's 1533-position model. The record is from RNAcentral. Lineage: Bacteria; Pseudomonadati; Pseudomonadota; Betaproteobacteria; Burkholderiales; Burkholderiaceae.